UGGGGAAUAUUGCACAAUGGGCGAAAGCCUGAUGCAGCAACGCCGCGUGAGUGAUGAAGGCCUUCGGGUUGUAAAGCUCUGUCUUUGGGGACGAUAAUGACGGUACCCAAGGAGGAAGCCACGGCUAACUACGUGCCAGCAGCCGCGGUAAUACGUAGGUGGCAAGCGUUGUCCGGAUUUACUGGGCGUAAAGGAUGCGUAGGCGGAUAUUUAAGUGAGAUGUGAAAUUCCCGGGCUUAACUUGGGAGCUGCAUUUCAAACUGGAUAUCUAGAGUGUGGGAGAGGAGAAUGGAAUUCCUAGUGUAGCGGUGAAAUGCGUAGAGAUUAGGAAGAACACCAGUGGCGAAGGCGAUUCUCUGGACCAUAACUGACGCUGAGGCAUGAAAGCGUGGGUAGCAAACAGG
Molecule: ribosomal RNA, 404 nt
Filed under: uncultured bacterium
Lineage: Bacteria
Description: bacterial SSU rRNA
Rfam family: Bacterial small subunit ribosomal RNA
Source: RNAcentral